RNAcentral lists this ribosomal RNA (359 nucleotides) under uncultured bacterium. RNAcentral's name for it is "partial 16S ribosomal RNA". It matches the Rfam family "Bacterial small subunit ribosomal RNA", at positions 338 to 694 of the family's 1533-position model. The record is from RNAcentral.
CCUACGAGAGGCAGCAGUGAGGAAUAUUGGUCAAUGGGCGCGAGCCUGAACCAGCCAAGUAGCGUGAAGGAUGACUGCCCUACGGGUUGUAAACUUCUUUUAUAAAGGAAUAAAGUGAGGCACGUGUGCCUUUUUGUAUGUACUUUAUGAAUAAGGAUCGGCUAACUCCGUGCCAGCAGCCGCGGUAAUACGGCGGAUCCGAGCGUUAUCCGGAUUUAUUGUGUUUAAAGGGAACGUAGAUGGGUUGUUAAGUCAGUUGUGAAAGUUUGCGGCUCAACCGUAAAAUUGCAAGUGAUACUGGCAGUCUUGAGUACAGUAGAGGUAGGCGGAAUUCGUGGUGUAGCGGUGAAAUGCUUAGA